GGGGGGGUAGGCGUGGUUACGCUGUUUGCUUUGUAAGCGGAAGGUUCUGGGUUCGAUUCCCAUCUGCUCCU
Molecule: transfer RNA, 71 nt
Filed under: Culex quinquefasciatus (southern house mosquito)
Lineage: Eukaryota; Metazoa; Arthropoda; Insecta; Diptera; Culicidae
Rfam family: tRNA
About the family: Transfer RNA (tRNA) molecules are approximately 80 nucleotides in length. Their secondary structure includes four short double-helical elements and three loops (D, anti-codon, and T loops). Further hydrogen bonds mediate the characteristic L-shaped molecular structure. tRNAs have two regions of fundamental functional importance: the anti-codon, which is responsible for specific mRNA codon recognition, and the 3' end, to which the tRNAs corresponding amino acid is attached (by aminoacyl-tRNA synthetases). tRNAs cope with the degeneracy of the genetic code in two manners: having more than one tRNA (with a specific anti-codon) for a particular amino acid; and 'wobble' base-pairing, i.e. permitting non-standard base-pairing at the 3rd anti-codon position.
Source: Rfam by way of RNAcentral